UGGGGAAUAUUGCGCAAUGGGCGAAAGCCUGACGCAGCAACGCCGCGUGAGUGAUGAAGGCCUUCGGGUCGUAAAGCUCUGUCGGAGGGAACGAAUGCUCCUGAAGUUAACAGCCUCAGGAGGUGACGGUACCCUCAAAGGAAGCACCGGCUAACUCUGUGCCAGCAGCCGCGGUAAUACAGAGGGUGCAAGCGUUGUUCGGAAUCAUUGGGCGUAAAGCGUGCGCAGGCGGUUAUGCAAGACAGGUGUGAAAUCCCCGGGCUUAACCUGGGAACUGCACUUGUGACUGCAUAGCUGGAGUACGGCAGAGGGGGAUGGAAUUCCGCGUGUAGCAGUGAAAUGCGUAGAUAUGCGGAGGAACACCGAUGGCGAAGGCAGUCCCCUGGGCCUGUACUGACGCUCAUGCACGAAAGCGUGGGGAGCAAACAGGAUUAGAUACCCAUGUAGUCCCUGAGCGGGCUGGCAAGGCGCAU
This 473-nucleotide ribosomal RNA is filed under the name uncultured bacterium. RNAcentral's name for it is "bacterial SSU rRNA". It matches the Rfam family "Bacterial small subunit ribosomal RNA", at positions 355 to 825 of the family's 1533-position model. The record is from RNAcentral.